GUCACUUUGCCGGAGUGGUUAACGGGAUGCCCUGCUAUUGCAGCUAUAGGCAUUGGGCUUUGCCCGCGAGUGUUCGAAUCGCUCAGGUGACG
Daedaleopsis nitida is the source of this 92-nucleotide non-coding RNA. The record is from the annotation of a GenBank genome assembly. Lineage: Eukaryota; Fungi; Basidiomycota; Agaricomycetes; Polyporales; Polyporaceae.